GAUGGGAGCUUGCUCCCUGAUGUUAGCGGCGGACGGGUGAGUAACACGUGGGUAACCUGCCUGUAAGACUGGGAUAACUCCGGGAAACCGGGGCUAAUACCGGAUGGUUGUCUGAACCGCAUGGUUCAGACAUAAAAGGUGGCUUCGGCUACCACUUACAGAUGGACCCGCGGCGCAUUAGCUAGUUGGUGAGGUAACGGCUCACCAAGGCGACGAUGCGUAGCCGACCUGAGAGGGUGAUCGGCCACACUGGGACUGAGACACGGCCCAGACUCCUACGGGAGGCAGCAGUAGGGAAUCUUCCGCAAUGGACGAAAGUCUGACGGAGCAACGCCGCGUGAGUGAUGAAGGUUUUCGGAUCGUAAAGCUCUGUUGUUAGGGAAGAACAAGUGCCGUUCAAAUAGGGCGGCACCUUGACGGUACCUAACCAGAAAGCCACGGCUAACUACGUGCCAGCAGCCGCGGUAAUACGUAGGUGGCAAGCGUUGUCCGGAAUUAUUGGGCGUAAAGGGCUCGCAGGCGGUUUCUUAAGUCUGAUGUGAAAGCCCCCGGCUCAACCGGGGAGGGUCAUUGGAAACUGGGGAACUUGAGUGCAGAAGAGGAGAGUGGAAUUCCACGUGUAGCGGUGAAAUGCGUAGAGAUGUGGAGGAACACCAGUGGCGAAGGCGACUCUCUGGUCUGUAACUGACGCUGAGGAGCGAAAGCGUGGGGAGCGAACAGGAUUAGAUACCCUGGUAGUCCACGCCGUAAACGAUGAGUGCUAAGUGUUAGGGGGUUUCCGCCCCUUAGUGCUGCAGCUAACGCAUUAAGCACUCCGCCUGGGGAGUACGGUCGCAAGACUGAAACUCAAAGGAAUUGACGGGGGCCCGCAC
RNAcentral lists this ribosomal RNA (872 nucleotides) under Bacillus siamensis. RNAcentral describes it as "bacterial SSU rRNA". It matches the Rfam family "Bacterial small subunit ribosomal RNA", at positions 71 to 926 of the family's 1533-position model. The record is from RNAcentral. Lineage: Bacteria; Bacillati; Bacillota; Bacilli; Caryophanales; Bacillaceae.